CCCUAGUAUUUAGAUAUUAUUAUAAUUAGUAUUAGUGAAAUUUAAUAAUUUUGGCGGUUAAUUGUUAUUUAGAGGAGCUUGUAUAAUAGAAUUUACUCUUUAUAUCUUGUUAGUAAUUAAUUUAUUCAUCUCCGUUAUUAAUUUUUAAAUAGAAGGGUAAAAAAAAAUUAUUAUUUUAUAUUUCAGGUCAAGAUGUAGUUUUUAUUAAAAAAUAUUAGCUACAUUUAUGAAAUUAGUGGAUUAUUCAAUUUUAAUUUAAUUUGUUAAGGUGGAAGCAAUAAGAAAUUGAAUUUAGUUGUAAUAGUAAUUAGAAUGUUACUGUGAAUGGAUUUUAUUAAUGUA
Molecule: ribosomal RNA, 342 nt
Filed under: Neosadocus sp. RPDR-2013
Lineage: Eukaryota; Metazoa; Arthropoda; Arachnida; Opiliones; Gonyleptidae
Description: partial 12S ribosomal RNA
Source: RNAcentral